This 450-nucleotide ribosomal RNA is filed under the name uncultured bacterium. RNAcentral describes it as "partial 16S ribosomal RNA". It matches the Rfam family "Bacterial small subunit ribosomal RNA", at positions 354 to 796 of the family's 1533-position model. The record is from RNAcentral.
GUGGGGAAUUUUGGACAAUGGGCGCAAGCCUGAUCCAGCAAUGCCGCGUGCAGGAAGAAGGCCUUCGGGUUGUAAACUGCUUUUGUACGGAACGAAACGGUCCGGGUUAAUACCCUGGGCUAAUGACGGUACCGUAAGAAUAAGCACCGGCUAACUACGUGCCAGCAGUCGCGGUAAUACGUAGGGUGCAAGCGUUAAUCGGAAUUACUGGGCGUAAAGCGUGCGAAGGCGGGUUUGUAAGACAGGCGUGAAAGCCCAGAGCUCAACCUGGGAAGUGCGGUUGUGACUGCAGGGCUGGAGUGCGGCAGAGGGGGAUGGAAUUCCGCGUGUAGCAGUGAAAUGCGUAGAUAUGCGGAGGAACACCGAUGGCGAAGGCAAUCCCCUGGGCCUGCACUGACGCUCAUGCACGAAAGCGUGGGGAGCAAACAGGAUUAGAUACCCGUGUAGUCC